GGAUCAACCCAACCUGCGACAUCUGACCCCGGGGGUCUCCAUCCGUCCAGAAAUGUGGGUGUGUAGGGGGCCACGGGGCUUCGGAAAGCAGACCUGCAUGAAGAACACAAAAGAAGAUCUUUUGAAGAAUGUUGAUAACCAAACAACACUGACCCCCAUUGACUUCCAUUGGAUGAACACAAAACCACUGAGACGUUUCUCGAAAUAUCUUCACAUACAGGUUAUUCUGUAUGAGAGUCACAGCCGCUUGUGUCAUGGCAGGACUGGACACGGAUGCAGCUAAACCAGGACCUCCUGUAGCCUUCACAAUCUACACACACACAGAGCUGAUAGCGUCUUUAACACGACACUUUCCCACCGGCUGAUGUUUUGAGUGAACCAGAGACUGAUAAAAGACCCAAACCU
Long non-coding RNA from Triplophysa rosa, 405 nucleotides. RefSeq lists it as uncharacterized. NCBI's taxonomy places the organism in Eukaryota, Metazoa, Chordata, Actinopteri, Cypriniformes, Nemacheilidae. The transcript has 4 exons. The record is from RefSeq and is a predicted model, not a curated record.